CAUUCUCUCUCUCUCUCUCUCUCUCUCUCUCUCUCUCUCUCUCUCUCUCUCUCUCUCUCUCUCUCUCAUAAUACCUUGUGGAGGUAAGCUGGGUUGAGUGAGUAUUCCGUGUUUGUCUUCAGAUGUCUUCUUUUUCUCUCAUUGUGAUUAUGUGGGACAGACAAUACAUAUAGAAUCUGAAGUUUGAAAUACGGUGUUCAGUUGUAUUUUUGUACAAUCAGUGAUAAAAAAGAAUUAUUAAUUAGUAUCUACUUGUUCAGCUUAGAUGUUCAGUCCCUUACGAGCAAUUUCCAGUGUCGUUUCGGUGCUUCGAUCCUGAGAAAUACAGUAAUACCAAGUUCUCUCUCUCUCUCUCUCUCUCUCUCUGGACACGGUGCUGAGUGGACGCUUCCUCCUACCUGCCCUCUCACUUCCCCUCUCAGAUAUGUACAGGUCAGCCGCUCGAGUUACCCUUCUCCAUCUGUUUCCAUCCAAUUCCCCCUUCGGUUUUGGAGGACCUGGCGUUGAGUAUAGAUGACGACGAUCACCAGCCCAGCUU
Molecule: long non-coding RNA, 538 nt
Organism: Portunus trituberculatus (swimming crab)
Lineage: Eukaryota; Metazoa; Arthropoda; Malacostraca; Decapoda; Portunidae
Exons: 2
Source: RefSeq, a predicted model, not a curated record